CCUACGGGAGGCAGCAGUGAGGAAUAUUGGUCAAUGGGCGCUAGCCUGAACCAGCCAAGUAGCGUGAAGGAUGACUGCCCUAUGGGUUGUAAACUUCUUUUAGAUGGGAAUAAAGUGCAGGAUGUAUACUGCUUGGCAUGUACCUUAUGAAUAAGGAUCGGCUAACUCCGUGCCAGCAGCCGCGGUAAUACGGAGGAUGCGAGAGUUAUCCGGAUUUAUUGGGUUUAAAGGGUGCGUAGGCGGAUCGUUAAGUCAGUGGUCAAAUUGAGGGGCUCAACCCCUUCCCGCCAUUGAAACUGGCGUUCUUGAGUGGAAGAGAAGUAUGCGGAAUGCGUGGUGUAGCGGUGAAAUGCAUAGAUAUCACGCAGAACCCCGACUGCGAAGGCAGCAUGCCGGCUUCCGACUGACGCUGAAGCACGAAAGCGUGGGGAUCGAACAGGAUUAGAUACCCCAGUAGUC
Molecule: ribosomal RNA, 459 nt
Filed under: uncultured bacterium
Lineage: Bacteria
Description: partial 16S ribosomal RNA
Rfam family: Bacterial small subunit ribosomal RNA
Source: RNAcentral